GGCACCUUGGUUUAGUUGGUCAAAGCGCCAGUCUAGUAAACUUGAGAUCGCCAGUUCGAAUCUCACUGGGACCU
RNAcentral lists this transfer RNA (74 nucleotides) under Papilio machaon (common yellow swallowtail). It matches the Rfam family "tRNA". Rfam says of the family: Transfer RNA (tRNA) molecules are approximately 80 nucleotides in length. Lineage: Eukaryota; Metazoa; Arthropoda; Insecta; Lepidoptera; Papilionidae. The record is from Rfam by way of RNAcentral.